AUUGAACGCUGGCGGCAUGCUUUACACAUGCAAGUCGAACGGUAACAGGCCUUCGGGUGCUGACGAGUGGCGAACGGGUGCGUAAUGCAUCGGAACGUACCCAGAGGUGGGGGAUAACGCAGCUAAAGCUGUGCUAAUACCGCAGGUUAUCUGAGGAUGAAAGCGGGGGACCGAGCAGCAAUGUUUGGCCUCGCGCCUUUGGAGCGGCCGAUGUCGGAUUAGAUAGUUGGUGGGGUAAAGGCCUACCAAGGCGACGAUCCGUAGCUGGUCUGAGAGGACGACCAGCCACACUGGGACUGAGACACGGCCCAGACUCCUAAGGGAGGCAGCAGUGGGGAAUUUUGGACAAUGGGCGCAAGCCUGAUCCAGCAAUGCCGCGUGCGGGAAGAAGGCCUUCGGGUUGUAAACCGCUUUUGGCAGGAACGAAACGGUGUCCGCUAAUACCGGGCGCUAAUGACGGUACCUGCAGAAUAAGCACCGGCUAACUACGUG
Molecule: ribosomal RNA, 492 nt
Filed under: uncultured bacterium
Lineage: Bacteria
Description: partial 16S ribosomal RNA
Rfam family: Bacterial small subunit ribosomal RNA
Source: RNAcentral